GACGAACGCUGGCGGCGUGCUUAAUACAUGCAAGUCAACUGAACUUAAGGUAGCAAUAUUUUAAGGGAGGUGGCGCACGGGUGAGUAACACGUAGGUAAUCUGCCUUUAGGUCUGACAUAAUUCCGCGAAAGCGGGACUAAUAUCAGAUGAUGCAGCGGCUCGACAUCGAGACAGUUGUUAAACCUCGGGCCGUAAGAAUGAGCCUGCGUCUGAUUAGGAGUUGGCGGAGUAAAAGACCCACCAAGCCUGCGAUCAGUAGCUGGUCUGAGAGGAUGAUCAGCCACACUGGAACUGAGACACGGUCCAGACUCCUACGGGAGGCAGCAGUAAGGAAUAUUGCUCAAUAGGCCGAAA
Molecule: ribosomal RNA, 355 nt
Filed under: uncultured bacterium
Lineage: Bacteria
Description: bacterial SSU rRNA
Rfam family: Bacterial small subunit ribosomal RNA
Source: RNAcentral